Molecule: ribosomal RNA, 433 nt
Filed under: uncultured bacterium
Lineage: Bacteria
Description: partial 16S ribosomal RNA
Rfam family: Bacterial small subunit ribosomal RNA
Source: RNAcentral
AACGAACGCUGGCGGCAUGCCUAACACAUGCAAGUCGAACGAGACCUUCGGGUCUAGUGGCGCACGGGUUCGUAAAGCGUGGGAAACUGCCCUUAGGUUCGGCCUAACUCCCCGAAUAGGGUGCUAAUACCGGAUAAUGUCUUCGGACCAAAGAUUUGUCGCCUUUGGAUGGGCCGGCGUUGGAUUAGCUAGUUGGUAGGGUAAAAGGCUACAAAGGCGAGGAUCCAUAGAUGGUCAGAGAGGAUGAGCAGCCACACUGGGACUGAGACACGACCCGGAAUCCUACGGGAGGCAGCAGAGGGUAAUACUGGAAAACGGGCGGAAGCCUGAUCGAGCACGGGCGGGUGAGUGAUGAAGUUCGGAGAGUUGUAAAGCUCGUUUACCCGGGAUGAGAAUGACAGUACCGGAAGAAUAAGCACCGGCUAACUCCGUG